Molecule: long non-coding RNA, 914 nt
Organism: Cyanistes caeruleus (blue tit)
Lineage: Eukaryota; Metazoa; Chordata; Aves; Passeriformes; Paridae
Source: RefSeq, a predicted model, not a curated record
CGCCGGGGCCCAGCAGCCGCCGGGACCGAGCGGGACGCGGCUGUGGGGGCUCCGUCAGGAGCUCCCGCUCACGGCAGCCCGCAGUUCCCGCGGAGCAGCCCCGCUCCGAGGGUCCUACGAGGGGCUUGGCGCCUGUCCGCUUCCUCACGAUCCGUAACCAGGAGGACCCGGCCUUCACCGGGAGCCCGAGCGUGCCGCUGCUCCGCGGAGCCAGACACGAGCUCUGAACCAGCCGGGAGGGGCUGAGCUGAGGCGCUGGUGCCGGGCUGUCGCUGUCACCAGUCCGUGUGUGACUCGGGCGACUCCCCACCUGGUCGGGACGGCCGAUCAAUGGGGAGCCACUGUAAACUUGGCUUUGUUGUGGGAUAAAGACCCAGUUCUUUCAGCGCAACGCAGUCAAAGUUACCCAGGACCUGCGGGAGAGCUUUCUUAGAGAAAUAAAGUUGCCUUCUGAAAUGUUUCCCCAUGGAAGUUACUGGUUAGGUGUCACAAAUGAACUAAAUGAGGCAAUAGUUAAAUAACCUUGUGUGUAUUGUUGGAACAAAACUGCUGUAGGAUUGGAAUUGCACCCUGCUACUGUAGCCAUUCACCCUCAGCAGGGUGGUGGGAAGCACAGUGCAGACGUGUACAACGACAGCAGUGCAGAGAGAUGUACUCCUCUCCUUUUCACAGGCCCCCGUUACUCUCCAGCUACACCAAAACUCAAGGAAAGCAAAAAAAACAUCAUUUGCUUGUGUCACCUGUCGAGAAGUUAAAAGCUGUGUCAUUUAUGUAGUUUUUCAGGAAAUUGUCCUGCUCUAAUUCCAGCUAGAAAGCUUGGUACUUCAUAAAACAUGCUUUUGAGUUUUCCUACCAUUUUUGCCUAUGGAGACAGGGUCUUUCAAAGCUAAACUAAAUCUAGUGCUGUUAAAUGA